AGCCUGAACGCUGGCGGCGUGGCUAAGACAUGCAAGUCGUACGGGUGUAGCAAUACACCAGUGGCGGACGGGUGAGUAAUGUAUCGCUAACGUGCCCUUCAGUCCGGGAUAGCCGAGGGAAACUUCGGGUAAUACCGGUUGACAUCACGAGCAGGCAUCUGCUUGUGCUCAAAGGCGUAAGCCGCUGAAGGAGCGGGCGAUAUCGUAUCAGCUAGUUGGCGGGGUAACGGCCCACCAAGGCGACGACGCGUAGCCGGACUGAGAGGUUGGCCGGCCACAUUGGGACUGAGACACUGCCCAGACUCCUACGGGGGGCUGCAGUAACGAAUCUUCGCAAUGCACGCAAGUGUGACGGAGCGACGCCGCGUGUGGGACGAAGCCCCUCGGGGUGUAAACCACUGUCAGGGGAUAGAAAGUUCUGAUCAACCCCAGAGGAAGGCACGGCUAACUCUGUGCCAGCAGCCGC
RNAcentral lists this ribosomal RNA (466 nucleotides) under uncultured bacterium. RNAcentral describes it as "SSU rRNA". It matches the Rfam family "Bacterial small subunit ribosomal RNA", at positions 26 to 518 of the family's 1533-position model. The record is from RNAcentral.